UACAGAGGGUGCAAGCGUUGUUCGGAAUUAUUGGGCGUAAAGCGCGUGUAGGCGGUCUCGCAAGUCGGAUGUGAAGGCCCUCGGCUUAACCGAGGAAGUGCGUUCGAAACUACGAGACUUGAGUACCGGAGAGGGUGGCGGAAUUCCCGGUGUAGAGGUGAAAUUCGUAGAUAUCGGGAGGAACACCAGUGGCGAAGGCGGCCACCUGGACGGCUACUGACGCUGAGACGCGAAAGCGUGGGGAGCAAACAGGAUUAGAAACCCCAGUAGU
RNAcentral lists this ribosomal RNA (271 nucleotides) under uncultured bacterium. RNAcentral describes it as "partial 16S ribosomal RNA". It matches the Rfam family "Bacterial small subunit ribosomal RNA", at positions 524 to 794 of the family's 1533-position model. The record is from RNAcentral.